GUGAGGAAUAUUGCGCAAUGGAGGCAACUCUGACGCAGCCAUGCCGGGUGCAGGAAGAAGGCGCUACGCGUUGUAAACUGCUUUUAACCGGGAAGAAACCCCAGGACGUGUCCUGGGUUGACGGUACCGGAGGAAUAAGCACCGGCUAACUUCGUGCCAGCCGCCGCGGUAAUACGAAGGGUGCAAGCGUUAUCCGGAGUCAUUGGGUUCAAAGGGUGCGUAGGCGGAGCGUUAAGUCAGUGGUGAAAUCCUGCAGCUUAACUGUAGACUGGCCAUUGAUACGGGCGCGCUUGAGUGCGCUUGAAGUGGGCGGAAUGUGCCGUGUAGCGGUGAAAUGCUUAGAUAUGGCACAGAACACCAAUUGCGAAGGCAGCUCACUAAGGCGAUACUGACGCUGAGGCACGAAAGCGUGGGGAUCGAACAGGAUUAGAUACCCGGGUAGUCC
RNAcentral lists this ribosomal RNA (445 nucleotides) under uncultured bacterium. RNAcentral's name for it is "partial 16S ribosomal RNA". It matches the Rfam family "Bacterial small subunit ribosomal RNA", at positions 354 to 796 of the family's 1533-position model. The record is from RNAcentral.